CCUACGGGCGGCAGCAGUGGGGAAUAUUGCGCAAUGGGCGAAAGCCUGACGCAGCGACGCCGCGUGAGGGAUGAAGGUCUUCGGAUCGUAAACCUCUGUCAGGAGGGAAGAACGGUCACUGUACUAAUCAGCAGUGAAUUGACGGUACCUGCAAAGGAAGCACCGGCUAACUCCGUGCCAGCAGCCGCGGUAAUACGGAGGGUGCGAGCGUUAAUCGGAAUUACUGGGCGUAAAGCGCGCGUAGGCGGUAUGGUAAGUCAAGGGUGAAAUCCCCGUGCUCAACGUGGGAACUGCCUUUGACACUGGCAGACUGGAGUGUGUGAGAGGAUAGUGGAAUUCCAGGUGUAGGAGUGAAAUCCGUAGAUAUCUGGAGGAACAUCAGUGGCGAAGGCGACUAUCUGGCACAUAACUGACGCUGAGGAGCGAAAGCGUGGGGAGCAAACAGGAUUAGAUACCCGAGUAGUC
Molecule: ribosomal RNA, 465 nt
Filed under: uncultured bacterium
Lineage: Bacteria
Description: partial 16S ribosomal RNA
Rfam family: Bacterial small subunit ribosomal RNA
Source: RNAcentral